AGAAAAUGCAAACAUUAAAUGGUGUCGACAAUUUGACAAUUGAGUCAAACCGUCGAUUGGUGCAUUUACACAUAAACGGCAUUCAAAACUAUCGUUCCUGUGUGAAAUGACAAAAUGGGGUUUACGAACGUUGCUCGUUUUUAACAUGCCGAGGACAAUUAGGACUACUUAAAAACAAAAAAAAACACCUAGCAGCCUCCAAGCGUCGACACACUUUCUCUGGCCCGUACAAACGCCGGCAAUACGCUUUGCGUGUUAUUUACACUGUAGAAAAUGUCCGUAAAUUUCACAGUAAAAUACCGUAUAAAUGGUACAGAAUAAAACCGUAUUCCACAAAACAUGGGACGACCAUUGAUUUUACAGUGAAAAACCGUAAUUGCUUUUACAGAGUAUGACCUUACAUUUAACAGUUAAAAACAUAUCAAAAAGUACCGUAUAAAUGCUACAGGAUAAAACCGUCUUCCAAAAAACAUGUCAUAACUGUAAAAUACGGCUUAUUGCAGUUCAUUAACAAUAUACUAAGACACAUGAAUUUCUUACAUGUGCAAAAAACAUGUGAAAUGUGUGUUUUUGGAACAUUUUUCUGGCAAUCCCAUGUGACUUCAGAUUUCAAAGCCCAUAGUAUAAAUGUCCAACAUGUGAUGACACGUAAACAAAAUUUGAUCGUUACAUUAACAUCGUUACCAGAAAAACAUUAUGUCUUGGGCAAUUCCAGGUAAUUGCACAUUUUGACACGACAAGCCUCGCGCGGGACACAGCGAACACAUAUUUUGGAUUAUAGCGGGCCUGGAAGAACUGCUCAUAUUUGACCAAACCCUUGAUAGAGUUUAAAAGUGCUAAUAAUAUCUGCCUAGAUAUGCACUAGUAAGACGACAAAACGUUCUUAAAGGCGAGAUCUUUUGAGCACUGUAGCAUUGGUAUCGUUGGUGGUUGAACAAUCAUUUCAAACCAGACACAAUUUCAACAUGUUGGAUAGUAACCCUAAAAUGACAUUAAAGAGCUUCAAAUCUGGUAAACAUCUUUGAAUUCAAGUUUGCAGUGAACUCUGUUGCCGUGACACUUCUGCCGGCCCCAUUUAUUUCAUAUAUUUCCUCCCAGUAUGGCGGCGUAAGCAGAACUGGUCACGUGACUGCCAGACCUCUGUAGCACAUUGUGUAAGAGUAAGAAUCCGUUUUGGAUAUAUUAGCUUGUUAGCUAAUAGCUCAUUUCUAAUGUCGUAAACACGUUUGCUUUCAUUUCAAACAACAGUAGAGUGCUUUGAUUCUCUUUGAUGACCACCAUUAAGUAUACGUAAGACUAUGUUCCAAACAUAUUUCUCAGUCAUGCUUUCAAGUCAGAUAUUGACAUCUGUGUUACAGUAAAAGCCUUUUGUUCAUUUUGUAAGGUUAUGUGCAAUUAUUGCCCUCUUAACGGGUCUCAUUAAAAAUACAUCAACAUAUUUGACACCACUGUACAGUGUGCACUUGAAAAACACAACUCAGGAGACGGGACAUAAACAUUUCUCACAUUUUUGGUGCAACACUGUAUAGAAGGACUUUACAAUUGUUUGGUUCAAUUGUCUGCCUACGUCCACUUUAACAUUUGUACGUUUGAUUUGAAAAAUGGAAAUAUUCUUUUGCUGUAAUUAACAGCGCUUUUACAUUUUUUAUUAUUUUUUUUUAGGUUUGCCUGCUACGUUCCAUUGAAAGACACUUUGACGUGUUUAUUGGAGUCUGACCUAUGGCCAAAUUGUGCAAUUUACCACCUCAUAUAAGAUCAAAUACAGACCGCGUGUCACUUGUAAUGCUGUGUCGACAAAAACACUUUAAACACUUUGGCCAUGACAAAGUUUUGUCAAGGCUCAUUUCAGAAAGAAAAAAGUCAAAGGGACUGUUUUGUGCAUUGCAGGGGUCUCGUAAUAUUGUAAUAUGGUUUUACACAACAUUUUAGUUUUUCCCAAUAUUUCUGCAGGUAUUGCCGGAUGACACGAGCACAUUUUCAAACAGAUCCAAAUGCAUGUGGACCUCAGCGCACUCCUGAAAACUACCAAUCUGCAGUAGACAUUUUACAGUCUGAGGGACGACAAAACGUUGAAGGUGUAACAUCUGGCUCCAUUUUUCAUUCGCUGUUUAGGCCGUGACAUUUUUGAGCCCUUUACCUCAAGUACUCAAGUAUUCAGUUCUGAAUAGACGCAUUUUAAGUACAGUGCAGUGCAGUGAACUCCAACAGAGUAAGGCUUUCUGGUCAGGCUGUUCAGAACUGGACUUCUUCCUGCGAUCAUGUGUGACAAGGUCAAAGAGCCCAUGGAUGAUGUUUGGCAGUUGACCCUUCAACUAAAAGACAUUGUGGAGAUGAUUUGUGCGCAGAACAUUUCAUUGCCAGAGGUCGCAUACCUUCAUGUUCUUAUCCAAGAAUAUCUUGCUUGCACAUUCUCUCUCUUUCCAGGACAUGGACUAAAGCCUAAGCAUCACUACUUGAGAGCAAGCACGGUUACUUUAAAAGAUGCGCUAGAAACGUAAAGAAUUUCAAAAACCUGUGCUUCACUCUCUCUGAAAGGCAUCAAUUGUACCAGGCUUAUCUGUCAGAAGGGUCGAUGUGUGAGAGAGAAAAAAACACCACUGCAUAUAUUACCCACAGCUAUAUGCUGAUUCUGUUAAAGAUGCAGUGAGGCAGUUUGGAUUUACAGAGAACAAUACCAAAGUCUCAGCACAAGUCAUGUACAGGGGUACGCUAUAUACAAAAAAGGCCAGUUCCUUGUGACAAACCAUAUGGACUCAGUAGAGUUUGGAGAACUUGCACUUAUUUUCAUGAAAGAUAAAGUUGUUCAUUUUCUGCUGAGAAACUAUGUAACAGAGUUCAUUCCUGCAUACCAUUUGCGUGAAUUGAAAAAUCAGACCGAAAUAAUGCACUGUGUGAAAAUCAAUGACCUGGCACAUUUCUAUCCUUUAACAUCAUAUAUGACGAAUGGAAAAAAGGCUAAUUCCAUUAAAGCACAGUGUGAUGUCACGCUGAACAUGAUGGUCGAUCUGUAUUUUCUCAGAUUGUUUUGGUUGUUUUUCAGAAAUGGAUGAUUCAGAGCUAAACAUUUCAAACAUUAGCGAUGCCACUGAUGCUGUAUUACCUGAACUCCCAAUCGCAACUACAAAAAAUCUCUUGAGGACACCUUCAAAUCACUUGGAGUGGAGACCCCAGAAGAAAUCGGAUCUGGGAGCUGUACUGAGGCCCAUUCAAGCCAGGACAUUUAUUUCUGUUCUAAAGGAGACCAACAGCGUGAUUGGUCCUGGAUACUACUCCUUGGUCAAACUAUCUCAAGCCAGGGUCGAAAAAUGCAAGAAGGACCAGCACACCAAAAAUACAAAAAGCGCAUUCACGAUACAGACGAAUGUGACACUGAGGAAGUCACACCCGAAAAAAGAGCUGCAGUCCAAGAUACAUACGGCUGCGUUCAUUGGGAAGUUACAUUUAUGCCCCUCAGUGAAACUGCUGAGAGUUUCUCGUAAAGUCUACAUACUACAGUCAACGAAAAGAUAUCGACAAUGGAACGGACAUGAAAACUCUCACUGAGGAGAGGCCAUUUUUGUUUCAGGAAAGUGGAAUGGAAGUGCACUUUAAAGACCUCACAGGGACAGAAAAGGAAACAGGCUGUUGAACUUUACGAGGAAUCUUUGUGCAACCAGGAACAAGCGUGUCUUACGGGCUGUCACAAAACUUGAAGUUUUGAGAGGACAGACGAAUGGUCGCUCAGAGGAUGUGAAAGACACGAUUCUUCUACUUCUCUCCUAUUUUGAUGAGAAACAAGAGCUCCUUCUUCAUUAUGUACGAGAAGAGACAAGCCUUGCAAAGGAUGUAGAGUUGGACAACCUGCCUCCGACGCCUUGCAUUAUUGUGUGCGGACCCUCCUGCUAUGCUGCUGUUCGAUUUAUGCUCAGUGUGGACCGCAAGAUUGUGAAUCAUGACGUCACUGCAUUCAUCGCUGCCGUUUAAAUGCCUAACGUUGGGCAGUUAUUACUGUUUCAGUACACACCACCCUACUGAACUGGCAUCAGUGCUUGAAUUUUUGCAAACGUGCUUCUUCAUCAUCAAUCCUGAAAAGGGCACAAAGGUCGUGGAAAAGAAGAACAAAAAACGACUCCCAGUGAACCCAAGAGUCUUCACCUUCAUCUCUGACCUUUCUGAUCACGAGUGGCGAGAGACCUCGCAAAGGUGGCCUGCGACGGAAACGGUUUCCAUGUUUAAACUCUUGUUAAACGUUGAAAUGUAUACUCUCUAAGCACUUGUGUUGUGCUUUGUUCUGCUUUAGUAGUUAUUAUUGUAAAUAUUCGACAACCUUUAUAUAUUCCCAAGCUCAGUUUGAAGUGGCAGUUAGGGAACAGAAACUCUGAAUCUACAUUUUAAAUGCGUAGUCUGAUGCUGAUUUUAAGACUGAUCUUAAGCCAUUGUUUACUUCUGAUAAAAUGUUCUGAUAAUGUUGUUUGAAAUGCCUGCCAGUCUUCAUUAAAAAUACUUGGGACCGCUUGA
This is a long non-coding RNA of Puntigrus tetrazona (Sumatra barb), 4497 nucleotides long. RefSeq lists it as uncharacterized. Lineage: Eukaryota; Metazoa; Chordata; Actinopteri; Cypriniformes; Cyprinidae. The transcript is spliced from 4 exons. The record is from RefSeq and is a predicted model, not a curated record.